GACCCGUCUUGAAACACGGACCAAGGAGUCUAACAUAUGUGCAAGUUAUUGGGAUAUAAACCUAAUAGCGUAAUUAACUUGACUAAUAAUGGGAUUAGUUUUUUAACUAUUUUAUAGCUAAUUAACACAAUCCCGGGGCGUUCUAUAUAGUUAUGUAUAAUAAUAUUUAUAUUAUUUAUGCCUCUAACUGGAACGUACCUUGAGCAGAUAUGCUGUGACCCGAAAGAUGGUGAACUAUACUUGAUCAGGUUGAAGUCAGGGGAAACCCUGAUGGAAGACCGAAACAGUUCUGACGUGCAAAUCGAUUGUCAGAAUUGAGUAUAGGGGCGAAAGACCAAUCGAACCAUCUAGUAGCUGGUUCCUUCCGAAGUUUCCCUCAGGAUAGCUGGUGCAUUUUAAUGUUAUAUAAAAUAAUCUUAUCUGGUAAAGCGAAUGAUUAGAGGCCUUAGGGUCGAAACGAUCUUAACCUAUUCUCAAACUUUAAAUGGGUAAGAACCUUAACUUUCUUGAUAUGAAGUUUAAGGUUAUGAUAUAUUGUGCCCAGUGGGCCACUUUUGGUAAGCAGAACUGGCGCUGUGGGAUGAACCAAACGUAAUGUUACGGUGCCCAAAUUAACAACUCAUGCAGAAACCAUGAAAGGCGUUGGUUGCUUAAAACAGCAGGACGGUGAUCAUGGAAGUCGAAAUCCGCUAAGGAGUGUGUAACAACUCACCUGCCGAAGCAACUAGCCCUUAAAAUGGAUGGCGCUUAAGUUGUAUACCUAUACAUUACCGCUAAAGUAGAUGAUUUAUAUUACUUGUAAUAUAAAUUUUGAAACUUUAGUGAGUAGGAAGGUACAAUGGUAUGCGUAGAAGUGUUUGGCGUAAGCCUGCAUGGAGCUGCUAUUGGUACAGAUCUUGGUGGUAGUAGCAAAUAAUCGAAUGAGACCUUGGAGGACUGAAGUGGAGAAGGGUUUCGUGUGAACAGUGGUUGAUCACGAGUUAGUCGGUCCUAAGUUCAAGGCGAAAGCCGAAAAUUUUCAAGUAAAAAUAAAAUUUACUAUAUGUAAAAAUUAUAUACUUGAAUAAUUUUGAACGAAAGGGAAUACGGUUCCAAUUCCGUAACCUGUUGAGUAUCCGUUUGUUAUUAAAUAUGGGCCUCGUGCUCAUCCUGGCAACAGGAACGACCAUAAAGAAGCCGUCGAGAGAUAUCGGAAGAGUUUUCUUUUCUGUUUUAUAGUCGUACUACCAUGGAAGUCUUUCGCAGAGAGAUAUGGUAGAUGGGCUAGAAGAGCAUGACAUAUACUGUUGUGUCGAUAUUUUCUCCUCGGACCUUGAAAAUUUAUGGUGGGGAUACGCAAACUUCUCAACAGGCCGUACCAAUAUCCGCAGCUGGUCUCCAAGGUGAAGAGUCUCUAGUCGAUAGAAUAAUGUAGGUAAGGGAAGUCGGCAAAUUAGAUCCGUAACUUCGGGAUAAGGAUUGGCUCUGAAGAUUGAGAUAGUCGGGCUUGAUUGGGAAACAAUAAUAUGGUUUAUGUGCUCGUUCUGGGUAAAUAGAGUUUCGAUCAUUUAUGGUUGUAACUUGUUCCCCGGAUAGUUAGUUACGUAUCCAAUUGUGGAACUUUCUUGCUAAAAUUUUUAAGAAUACUAGUUGGGUCAAACCAAUUAGUUCUUAUUAAUUAUAACGAUUAUCAAUUAACAAUCAAUUCAGAACUGGCACGGACUUGGGGAAUCCGACUGUCUAAUUAAAACAAAGCAUUGUGAUGGCCCUAGCGGGUGUUGACACAAUGUGAUUUCUGCCCAGUGCUCUGAAUGUCAAAGUGAAGAAAUUCAAGUAAGCGCGGGUCAACGGCGGGAGUAACUAUGACUCUCUUAAGGUAGCCAAAUGCCUCGUCAUCUAAUUAGUGACGCGCAUGAAUGGAUUAACGAGAUUCCUACUGUCCCUAUCUACUAUCUAGCGAAACCACAGCCAAGGGAACGGGCUUGGAAUAAUUAGCGGGGAAAGAAGACCCUUUUGAGCUUGACUCUAAUCUGGCAGUGUAAGGAGACAUAAGAGGUGUAGAAUAAGUGGGAGAUAUUAGACUUCGGUUUGGUAUCGCCAAUGAAAUACCACUACUCUUAUUGUUUCCUUACUUACUUGAUUAAAUGGAACGUGUAUCAUUUCCUAGCCAUUAUACGGAUAUAUUUAUUAUAUCUUAUGGUAUUGGGUUUUGAUGCAAGCUUCUUGAUCAAAGUAUCACGAGUUUGUUAUAUAAUCGCAAACAAAUUCUUUAAUGAGAGAUGCAUUUACUGUAUUAUUGAUUUGAAAAUUUGGUAUAACUCCAAUUACUCAGGUAUGAUCCAAUUCAAGGACAUUGCCAGGUAGGGAGUUUGACUGGGGC
Molecule: ribosomal RNA, 2359 nt
Filed under: Drosophila ananassae
Lineage: Eukaryota; Metazoa; Arthropoda; Insecta; Diptera; Drosophilidae
Description: eukaryotic LSU rRNA
Rfam family: Eukaryotic large subunit ribosomal RNA
Source: RNAcentral